Molecule: ribosomal RNA, 460 nt
Filed under: uncultured bacterium
Lineage: Bacteria
Description: partial 16S ribosomal RNA
Rfam family: Bacterial small subunit ribosomal RNA
Source: RNAcentral
CCUACGGGAGGCAGCAGUGAGGAAUAUUGGUCAAUGGACGAGAGUCUGAACCAGCCAAGUAGCGUGAAGGAUGACUGCCCUAUGGGUUGUAAACUUCUUUUAUAUGGGAAUAAAAUGUUCCACGUGUGGGAUUUUGUAUGUACCAUAUGAAUAAGGAUCGGCUAACUCCGUGCCAGCAGCCGCGGUAAUACGGAGGAGCCGAGCGUUAUCCGGAUUGAUUGGGUUUAAAGGGAGCGUAGGUGGAUUGUUAAGUCAGUUGUGAAAGUUUGCGGCUCAACCGUAAAAUUGCAGUUGAAACUGGCAGUCUUGAGUACAGUAGAGGUGGGCGGAAUUCGUGGUGUAGCGGUGAAAUGCUUAGAUAUCACGAAGAACUCCGAUUGCGAAGGCAGCUCACUGGACUGCAACUGACACUGAGGCUCGAAAGUGUGGGUAUCAAACAGGAUUAGAUACCCGUGUAGUC